Molecule: ribosomal RNA, 550 nt
Filed under: uncultured Alphaproteobacteria bacterium
Lineage: Bacteria; Pseudomonadati; Pseudomonadota; Alphaproteobacteria
Description: bacterial SSU rRNA
Rfam family: Bacterial small subunit ribosomal RNA
Source: RNAcentral
UAUGAACAAUGAGAUAAUCCCGAACUUGAUGAAUGAGAUGGUAGGGUACUGGCCGUCCAUGACUGUGAUCAAUACCUGAAUUAAGAGGAUCAACAGUCAGAUUGGGACUGAGACACAGCCCACACUGCUACGAAAAGGAAGCAAAUGGUUGAAUCUUGCGCGAAAGAACGAAACUCUUAUGCGACUGUGCGACGAGAGUGUCCACGGCCUUUAAGUUGUGGUUGCUCUUUCAACAGAUUAAUAUAAAUGACUGUACCCGAAAUGAGAAUGACCUGCUAGCUUCGUGCCAACAGCCGCGGAGAUACAUAGGGACCUUGCGAUAAUGUCGGAAUUACUGGGCUCGAAGAGGUCAUAGGUGGUUGAAAAAGAUGUUCGUAAGAUCCCAGAGCUAAUCUCUGGAACUGCCUUCAAAUCUCUUCAGAUACAGGAUGAUCUAGAGUAACAGCUGAAUUUCUGAUGUUUAUGUAAAUUUCUUAAAAAUCAAAAGAAUACGCAGUGCAAAGGCAACUUUCAGGUCAUUACUGACACUGAGGGUGCGAAACCAUGGAUA